This is a long non-coding RNA of Eriocheir sinensis (Chinese mitten crab), 2331 nucleotides long. RefSeq lists it as uncharacterized. The transcript has 2 exons. Lineage: Eukaryota; Metazoa; Arthropoda; Malacostraca; Decapoda; Varunidae. The record is from RefSeq and is a predicted model, not a curated record.
AGCAGCCUGAAUUUACUAAUUCACCCUAAAGUAACCUUACUCUGUCUUGAAUGACCCUAAACUAAUGUAAUUCACUCCCAUCUUACCUAAAACUACAGUUGAAUUACCCUAAACUUGCCUUAAAAUAAUCCCCUAAACGUAAUUCACUCCAAGGUAACCUGAAUCUGACCUAUCCUGACCUUACCUUAAUAUCCUAACCUUACCUUAACUUAUCCUGACCUUACCCUUAAGUGAGGGUUUCAGGACGGUACAGAAAUAUAUUUACAAUAAAUUCCCAAGUAUUCAACAAGUGCCUCACUAAGCAAAGAGUAGUUGGCGUUUUUUUUUGCCGAAUUUGCUUAUCACUCUCUUGACUGAAAUGGGGGGGAUAUCAUAGUGGACAUAGAGGAGGGCAAGUCCGUUCAGGCGCUCUUGGCCAACGGUACUCCUCAAAUAGGUUUGAAGCCUUUUCAAUGCUGAGAAAGACCUCUCGUUGGAGACUGGAAGCGUCAACAGAGUUUUCAAGAGAAUGGCGAGAUUGGGGAACACGCUGGUGCUGGCGUGUGCCUGGGCUUCUUUGAUAGUUUGGAAGACCAAAACAGAUAAUGCCCAGUGCCUUCACGAGUGUCAGGGAUUCCAUGUCGAGCUCGUAGAGCUUCUCCGCUUGAAGCACAGCUGCAACAUCCGUUUCGAGGCCAUUGAGGAGUUGCUUGAGCUGAUCGAAGUGCGACAGGCACUGUGUAGUCGCCGAACCGACUCUUCAACUCAGCCAAGACGUGGUCCACGAAUGGAAUGUACACCGCCCGGCGGUAGCACUCCUCAGCAUUCUCGCACGGAACAUUUGAUCGCUGGGUCUGUCGUCCACAGAGCCGUGGCACAGGGAUGGUGUCAUGCGAUGACCCCACCUCUACCAAAAGCUCUUCCGCUUUCAUGAACACAUCGUGGAAAUGAUUCUCCACAUCUGCUCUGAACUUGCCAAAAAUGGUCUCGAUGCCACGAAUCGGGCAUAGGCUGACACCAGGUCGCCAUCUUUUCUCUGAAGAGUUCGGCUUGGCUUGAGAGUAUGCGCCAAUGUACACUCCACUACAACCAGUCCAACGAGAAAGCGGGGAACAUGUAUGGCGAUGAGAAGGAGCCCAGCGGUGGCGUCAAGUUCUUCCUUGAGAAAAACAUCAAUGACAGGCAGAAAUUCAACAAAAACCAGCACUGCGUCAUGCCUCUCAAUCCACCUGGUGGGGCACAGGGGAACAAGCUCUUCGCGCUUGGCCGAGGUAAGCUUGACAACCUCUGUGAAGCGGAGACAGUGCAUAUUUGAAGAAUGAAUGAAGUUGCACACCUCGGUCAGUGUUUGAAGAGCGAUCUUCACUUCCUUGACGUCACACGGCUUCGUCAGUACUAGAUUCUGCCGGUGGUCAGAGCAGUGGAUUGGCUUGGCCAGGGUGUACUUCUUCAUGAGUACUGCGGCACACCCUUUGAAUUUUCUCAUCAUGGCACUUGCUCCAUCGAAACCAAGUCCCCUGCACUUGGCCAUGUCCAAUCCGAGGUCUUCAACGGUGCGCAAAAGGAGCCAGGCUAAACCUUUACCGGUGAGGCCUGGCGUGCACAAAGGCAAGGAAGUCUUCCCUUAUUUCCUGAUGAUAGUGGCCUGCACUAAAAUUCACUUUCUGCUUGCAUGUGAGGAAUGAGGUCACCCCAUAUCCGCCCCUGGGUUACGGGUAUGUGGUACGUAAGGUUGGGACCUGUUCGGGUAAGCCACGAGUGCGAAUCUUUGCUUUCUAUCCCCAGAGUAGUCCACUGUAAGUCAGAUUAUACUGCUCACUGUACCAGGAAUUACCUUCUGAAUAAAGCCUUGAACGUAAUGACGACGCACUCUGCUCGUUUGAAAAGCUGUUAUGAAUGUUUGGGACAGGUUACUAUGGUGGCUAGGUCAUUACAUACUCAAAUCAGGACUAGGCUUUGGGAGACAGGUCAGGUCAUUUUGUUGUAGACUUGUGAUACUGGGCUGGACUGCACUGGGUACACCAUCGCACGCUGAAGUUGUUGCGCACAAUUUAUAAUGAUAUUUUUUAGGAGAGACGGGCUUUUUUUCAUUAUUGGUUCUUUUUUUUCUUGAACUGUUUACUGUAAACAAAAAGUAUGUUAAUGUUUAUGUUGUAGUACGCUACCGGGCUCUCAAGGAGGUUUAAGACUGAUUCGUCGUAGCGACAACUGACUUAAUAUUCUGGUACUUCAAGAGUAUUUGAAGGAGCUCGUAGUUGGGGUGAUGAAACGUUGUCGCUUUUUUAUAUUUAAUUUUAACUUAUUUUAACACUUUGAAUAACAAAAUAAUAUAAAAUACAGAAUACACUUCAA